Macrobrachium nipponense is the source of this 247-nucleotide long non-coding RNA. RefSeq lists it as uncharacterized. The record is from RefSeq and is a predicted model, not a curated record. The transcript has 3 exons. Lineage: Eukaryota; Metazoa; Arthropoda; Malacostraca; Decapoda; Palaemonidae.
CUGGUAGUUUACAACAUCGUUUCUGUGGCAUCAAGACGUAUCAGGAGUUUUGAUUCAACUGCGGGAUACUGUUGCUGACGAUAAGCGGUUUACAUAAGUGCUUAUUCUGGAACAAUCCAUAAGGAAAGGGAGAGAGAGAAAAAAAGAUGUUCAGAAACGAACUUGUGAAGUGCGUCUACCUGCUACUCUGGAUUUCGGGAAGCAACAAGAAUCUCCCUGAAGCAUGCAUGAAAGGGCCAUUUAGACG